This 374-nucleotide ribosomal RNA is filed under the name uncultured bacterium. RNAcentral describes it as "bacterial SSU rRNA". It matches the Rfam family "Bacterial small subunit ribosomal RNA", at positions 524 to 896 of the family's 1533-position model. The record is from RNAcentral.
UACAGAGGUGGCAAGCGUUGUUCGGAAUUACUGGGCGUAAAGGGCGCGUAGGCGGCCUUCUAAGUCGGACGUGAAAGCCCCAGGCUUAACCUGGGAACUGCGUCCGAUACUGGGAGGCUUGGAUUCGGGAGAGGGAUGUGGAAUUCCAGGUGUAGCGGUGAAAUGCGUAGAUAUCUGGAGGAACACCGGUGGCGAAGGCGGCAUCCUGGACCGAGAUCGACGCUGAGGCGCGAAAGCUAGGGGAGCAAACGGGAUUAGAUACCCCGGUAGUCCUAGCCCUAAACGAUGAGUGCUUGGUGUGGCGGGUAUCGAUCCCUGCCGUGCCGAAGCUAACGCAUUAAGCACUCCGCCUGGGGAGUACGGUCGCAAGGCUG